Camellia sinensis is the source of this 953-nucleotide long non-coding RNA. RefSeq lists it as uncharacterized. The record is from RefSeq and is a predicted model, not a curated record. NCBI's taxonomy places the organism in Eukaryota, Viridiplantae, Streptophyta, Magnoliopsida, Ericales, Theaceae.
UGAAAUAUGCCGUCGCAAAAAGUAAUGAAAAUUUUCAACAUCCCUCUCCUUUAGCCCAUUCGCGCUCAUUUUCCCCAAAAUCCCUAUUCGAGCUCGUUUUCCCCCAAAAUCCCUGAAACCUUUGUAGCAAAAAUCUCAAGUGAGCGACGACGGUGGAAUUUUGCUAACUUUGAGGCGUAUUGACUGUGACGACGGUGGAAUUUUGCUCCGAGCAGCGAGCGACGACGACUAGUAGCAGUUAGUCUCAAUCGCGUCUCUCUCACUCACUCAGCAAGUGACGACGCCUAGAGACAAUGGAAACAGAUAAAGCUCAAAGGGUUCUUCCAUUUCAACUUCAGUUCGACAAACCACUCCCUUCUCAGAUUAAAAUAGCAUAAUGAAACCCAGAAAAGGAUUUACUCGCCAGGGUUACUAAGGACUCUAAAAUUCUUCUCCAUCGUUUGAAUUGGCAGUGUUUAUGGGCUGUAUCCCUAGUGCUGUUCAAUCAAGGAGUGUCGAGUUCAGAUCAAUAGUUGACACUUUGGGAUGCUUGGUAGCUAGUUAGAAUGUAGGGAACAUGGAUAGGGUUCAAAUGCCUGCUUUGGGAGUGGGAUUGUCGUAGUGUUGUGUUCAAGGUGGUAUUGUGUGCAAGAUGUUUGAUGAAAUGACAAUAUGGGCAUUUGGGAUAACAAACAAAUGUUGGGUGGAUUGGUUGUGAAGACAAGCAGGGGAGAGAAUACUAAGGCAGAGCCAACACUCCAAAGAUGGAAGGAAAAUGCAUAAUAUCCUUGUGUUGGCGUCUCGAAUCUGAUGAAGACCAAGAAGCAUCAAGUUUCCACUUAAGAAUGGAAAGCUGUUGCAAAGCGUAAAGUCCCAUACUGUUGUUGUUGUGUGUCUUAACUGGGAGGAAGAUGGGACAAAGAAUAGAAUGUUGCUUGAGUAGGAGUUUGCUUCUUGUGGAAUAUCUGCCUGUC